GUCUGAUGAAUAAAAGAGGCAAGAAGCGCCAGAAUAGUAUUUAUAAAUCACAGAUUCCCUUUUCUUUAACCUCUACUCUCUUAAGAAUAUGUAGUGCAUUAGUAAGAGCAACAUCUUUGCUAACUAUUAAAUUAUAUGGUUUGGCAUUGUCGGAUUAUUUCUGAAGGCAUGCUUCCUGCAACGCUCAAAUAUGCUGUCGUAGAUCAAAUCAAAUUGAACUCCAGCUCUUUCACGAUUCACAAUGAAAAGAAUGUGAUCACCUUCGACAAUCUUAUAGUACCAGAUGCCAGGUAGAAAAGGCUGGCAAUCAGAAUCUUUAACAACGAGUUGACUUGGGUGCUCAACUGGGAAACGAGGAUGUGUCAUAGAUAUAGUGUUGAGUGCACCAUCAUUGUCCCACCAAUCCUCAUCCCUAUAGCCCUUAUAUGGGGGAGGGACAUCUGGAGGAUGGCGCCAUAGGCUCAUUUGCAAGAUUCUAAUGAACAGCAGAGGAUGUAUCCCUAGUAUGCCAGAAGGGACUGUUAUACCCAUGACUUUGUUGGUACGCUUGGUAGCAUAGCUGAAGUAGUACGUACUAGGAAACGUAUGCAAGAGGUUGUUCAACUUGAUCGACCCCUGG
RNAcentral lists this unclassified non-coding RNA (619 nucleotides) under Hevea brasiliensis (rubber tree). Lineage: Eukaryota; Viridiplantae; Streptophyta; Magnoliopsida; Malpighiales; Euphorbiaceae. The record is from RNAcentral.